CGAAUGGGAGCUCAAACUGCAUAAAAGUAUAUUUACUCAAAAAUGGGAGGUGACGAUUGCUAACAUGUCAUAACCAGACUCUGUCAUGACCUCGGCAAGCCACAACAUUGACAAUAAAGAGGAAAGAGGAUCAAGUCCCUAAAUACCCAGGUGAACUAAGACCUUCCCACGUGCCCGAAGAAGAUACACUUGCAGAGGAGAAAUGAUGAUGCAGGGGCCUGCUCCGAGAUGCAGGAGGAAGUUUAAUUGCCUGUGAAUUUCACUGGGAAGGAAGGGAUGAAACGAGGUUUGAAAGGAAAUAGAGAUUGUUAAACUCCUGACUAGGCGAUAACUGCCGUCCUUCUCUUCUAUCUGCCCCUGUGACUAGGCGGUAACUGCCGUCCUUCUCUAAUAUCUGCCCCUGUGACCAGGCGAUAACUGCCGUCCUUCUCUAAUAUCUGCCCCUGUGACUAGGCGAUAACUGCCGUCCUUCUCUAAUAUCUGCCCCUGUGACUAGGCGAUAACUGCCAUCCUUCUCUUCCAUCUGCCCCUGUGACUAGGCGAUAACUGCCGUCCUUCUCUGCUGUCUGCCCCUACCUUGGGCCCCAAAUGGCUCAGCACUAAAGUGCCUUGAGCAGGCUCCAGCCCAAAGGUGGCCUCCAUGGUUACCACUUCCCACUCUGCUGCCCUGCCUCGCUUUCCUCCUCGGCCUUCCCGGAUGGAUGACCGAUGUCAUUCCCAGGUUCCCUAACACUCAAGCCUAGCCCCUCAGUUUCUAGCAAGCAUCAAGCUUCACUGUGUGUCUAGCCUCUCAGGAGUCAGACCUGAGAAGUAUAGCUUGGUGGAAAUUCAGUGGCAGGGAAGAAAGAAGGAAGGAAAGAAGACUCUGAGCUGGAUUCAUACACAUCAUCGCAAUUCAUCCACACCACAGUCCUGUAAGAAGGCUGCAAAACAUACAGCAGAAAGGAUGGCUUGAAGGCAAUUGAUGUUUGUAAAAAAAUCCACAACAGGAUCCAAGCUGAAGAGGUGAACACGUCAGCCUGGUGGGACAAUUCUCAGCAUGUGCAAACAUAGGUAAAUUCUAGCCUAUGUUACAUUAAAAACAAUGUCAGUGCAUUUUUUCAUGUUAAAGUUUUUUUCAAAGCUAAAGUGUGUUCCUUGUUGUGCUGACCACAAACGAGUUUUAAGAGUUUUGAAAGUCUGGCAAAAAUAGAAAAAAAAAAAAAGCUGUAGUGACAUUGAACUGCUCAAUGUAAGCAUUGGGCAUGCACAAAUUUUCAAAACAAAGGAAGGAAAUCAUCCCUCUUACAACAU
This 1293-nucleotide long non-coding RNA is filed under the name Homo sapiens (human). RNAcentral describes it as "non-protein coding LINC01596:1". The record is from RNAcentral. Lineage: Eukaryota; Metazoa; Chordata; Mammalia; Primates; Hominidae.